RNAcentral lists this ribosomal RNA (250 nucleotides) under uncultured Alphaproteobacteria bacterium. RNAcentral describes it as "partial 16S ribosomal RNA". It matches the Rfam family "Bacterial small subunit ribosomal RNA", at positions 524 to 773 of the family's 1533-position model. Lineage: Bacteria; Pseudomonadati; Pseudomonadota; Alphaproteobacteria. The record is from RNAcentral.
UACGAAGGGGGCUAGCGUUGUUCGGAAUCACUGGGCGUAAAGGGCGCGUAGGCGGCUUGACAAGUCAGGUGUGAAAGCCCCGGGCUCAACCCGGGAAUUGCACUUGAUACUGUCUCGCUAGAGUCCGGGAGAGGAUGGCGGAAUUCCCAGUGUAGAGGUGAAAUUCGUAGAUAUUGGGAAGAACACCGGUGGCGAAGGCGGCCAUCUGGACCGGUACUGACGCUGAGGCGCGAAAGCGUGGGGAGCAAAC